RNAcentral lists this ribosomal RNA (520 nucleotides) under uncultured Glomus. RNAcentral describes it as "SSU rRNA". It matches the Rfam family "Eukaryotic small subunit ribosomal RNA", at positions 569 to 1091 of the family's 1831-position model. Lineage: Eukaryota; Fungi; Glomeromycota; Glomeromycetes; Glomerales; Glomeraceae. The record is from RNAcentral.
AGCAGCCGCGGUAAUUCCAGCUCCAAUAGCGUAUAUUAAAGUUGUUGCAGUUAAAAAGCUCGUAGUUGAAUUUCGGGAUCAAUAUAUCGGUCGUGCCUUCGGUACGUACUGGUAUCAUUGGUUUCUCCUUUCUGACGAACCAUGAUGUCAUUAAUUUGGUGUUAUGGGGAGUUAGGACUGUUACUUUGAAAAAUUAGAGUGUUUAAAGCAGGCUAACGCUUGAAUACAUUAGCAUGGAAUAAUGAAAUAGGACGUUUGAUCCUAUUUUGUUGGUUUCUAGGAUCGACGUAAUGAUUAAUAGGGAUAGUUGGGGGCAUUAGUAUUCAAUUGUCAGAGGUGAAAUUCUUGGAUUUAUUGAAGACUAACUACUGCGAAAGCAUUUGCCAAGGAUGUUUUCAUUAAUCAAGAACGAAAGUUAGGGGAUCGAAGACGAUCAGAUACCGUCGUAGUCUUAACCAUAAACUAUGCCGACUAGGGAUCGGAUGAUGUUAAUUUUUAAUGUACUCAUUCGGCGCCUUAC